This 494-nucleotide ribosomal RNA is filed under the name uncultured bacterium. RNAcentral's name for it is "partial 16S ribosomal RNA". It matches the Rfam family "Bacterial small subunit ribosomal RNA", at positions 28 to 523 of the family's 1533-position model. The record is from RNAcentral.
GACGAACGCUAGCGGCAGGCUUAACACAUGCAAGUCGAGGGGUAUAGGUUUUCGGACCUAGAGACCGGCGCACGGGUGCGUAACGCGUAUGCAAUCUACCUUGUACAGGGGGAUAGCCCAGAGAAAUUUGGAUUAAUACCCCAUAGUAUUAUAGAAUGGCAUCAUUUUAUAAUUAAAGUUCCAACGGUAUAAGAUGAGCAUGCGUCCCAUUAGCUAGUUGGUAUGGUAACGGCAUACCAAGGCUACGAUGGGUAGGGGUCCUGAGAGGGAGAUCCCCCACACUGGUACUGAGACACGGACCAGACUCCUACAGGAGGCAGCAGUGAGGAAUAUUGGUCAAUGGACGCAAGUCUGAACCAGCCAUGCCGCGUGCAGGAUGACGGUCCUAUGGAUUGUAAACUGCUUUUGUACAGGAAGAAACACUCCUACGUGUAGGGACUUGACGGUACUGUAAGAAUAAGGAUCGGCUAACUCCGUGCCAGCAGCCGCAGUAA